GACGAACGCUGGCGGCGUGCUUAACACAUGCAAGUCGAGCGGUAAGGCCCUUUCGGGGGUACACGAGCGGCGAACGGGUGAGUAACACGUGGGUGACCUGCCCUCAGCUCUGGGAUAAGCCUGGGAAACCGGGUCUAAUACUGGAUAUGACUCCAUGACGCAUGUUGUGGGGUGGAAAGCCUUGUGCGGCUGAGGAUGGGCCCGCGGCCUAUCAGCUUGUUGGUGGGGUGANGGGCCUACCAAGGCGACGACGGGUAGCCGGCCUGAGAGGGCGACCGGCCACACUGGGACUGAGACACGGCCCAGACUCCUACGGGAGGCAGCAGUGGGGAAUCUUGCGCAAUGGGCGAAAGCCUGACGCAGCGACGCCGCGUGAGGGAUGACGG
This 386-nucleotide ribosomal RNA is filed under the name uncultured bacterium. RNAcentral describes it as "bacterial SSU rRNA". It matches the Rfam family "Bacterial small subunit ribosomal RNA", at positions 28 to 414 of the family's 1533-position model. The record is from RNAcentral.